GGGGAAUCUUGCACAAUGGGCGGAAGCCUGAUGCAGCAACGCCGCGUGAGUGAAGACGGCCUUCGGGUUGUAAAACUCUGUCAGGAGGGGCGAAAAAAAUGACGGUACCUCCAGAGGAAGCCCCGGCUAACUACGUGCCAGCAGCCGCGGUAACACGUAGGGGGCCAGCGUUGUCCGGAAUUACUGGGCGUAAAGGGCGUGUAGGCGGCCUAGCAAGUCAGCUGUGAAACCCCCGGGCUCAACCUGGGGCUUGCAGUUGAAACUGCCUGGCUUGAGUGCAGGAGAGGAGAGUGGAAUUCCUAGUGUAGCGGUGAUAUGCGUAGAUAUUAGGAGGAACACCAGUGGCGAAGGCGGCUCUCUGGACUGCAACUGACGCUGAGGCGCGAAAGCGUGGGGAGCAAAC
Molecule: ribosomal RNA, 403 nt
Filed under: uncultured bacterium
Lineage: Bacteria
Description: bacterial SSU rRNA
Rfam family: Bacterial small subunit ribosomal RNA
Source: RNAcentral